AAAAUGGGGCUUGCUGCUAGUAAACACGAGGAUUAUUAUAACUAUGCAAGCAUGAAACUACUAAAUUCUGGAAAAUGUGACAAUGAAAAUAAUGAAUAUGAUAACUAUCUUAAGGAAAAUGAUGUACAAUAUAUAGUGAAUGAAGCAAGAGAAAUAAAAAAUAGUAAUUAUAAAGAAUCUUUAGAAUUGUACUCAAAAGCUUUAUGCAUUUUAAAGAAAACAAAGGAAAAUAAUUCAAAAGUAUAUAACAAUGUUAUUGAAUUUGAUGUAAAACCACAACAAUUUGUUAGAAAUAGUAUGAUAGAUGGUAGCGCAUAUAUGAAUAACAAUAACACUAGUGUCGAAACAGUUAGUACCGAAUGUUACAGUACUGUAGAAAAUUUUAAUACGAUAAAAAAUGAUGUUUAUAAAAAAGACAAUAAAGAACAACAAAACAAGAAUAGCAGUUUACAUUAUCAUAAUAUAAAUAAUGAUAAUAACAAAAUACCAAUAAAUAAACAAAUUGCCUCUUUAUAUAACGAAAUGGGAGAUCUUUGCUGCAUACAUGAUUAUUUAGAAAAGGCACUGUUUUAUUAUGACAAAGCAUGUUUAUAUAGCCCAUCAACAAUUGAUUAUACAUAUAAGAAAGGAGUGUUAUAUCAGCAAAUGAAUCAAAUUGACAAAGCUAUAGCAACAUUUAAGAUUAUAUUAGGACAUGACGUUCAUCAUGUUCCAACACUAUUUUCAAUUGGAAAUUUAUACAGAUAUAUAGAUAAUAAUAUAGCCCUUUCUUAUUUUGAAACAAUACUUAAGUUAGAACCAGAAAAUACCGAAGUAUUAUCAUUAAUAGCAUCAUGUUAUGUUAAUUUGGGAAAAAUAAAUGAAGCUAUAUCUUAUCAAAAUAAGGCUGUUCAAAUAAAUCCUUAUAAUUUUAAUCAUAAAAAAUUUGCUCAACGGUUGAUAGAAACCAAACCUUACAAUUAAAUGGGUGGUUGUUCUUAUUUUUCAUUAUUUCUAUAUAUUUUUUGCUAUUUUACUCUGAGCCUGUUAAAUUAAAACCUGUUUAAAUGUUUAUUUAUUUUGCUUGCAUGAGUUGUUUAUAUGCUUAUUUGCUUAUGUGCUUAUUUAUUUAUUUUUUUUUUUAACAUUUAUAGGAUUUAAUUUAGUUAUUGUUUUAUCACCACAUUUUGUUACCAUUUAUCAUUAUUAUUUUAUCAUUAUUUGACUAUUAUUUUAUCAUCUUCUAUACUUUUUUAAUUUUUGUUUUUUUUUUCCUGAUGUUUACAUACUCAUAAAGCGGUGUAUGUAUGUAUAGUGUAUUUAGUACAGUAUAUUAAUAAACACAGAUAUAGAUGUGCA
This 1338-nucleotide long non-coding RNA is filed under the name Piliocolobus tephrosceles (Ugandan red Colobus). RNAcentral's name for it is "lncRNA (ENSPTEG00000015410.1)". The record is from RNAcentral. Lineage: Eukaryota; Metazoa; Chordata; Mammalia; Primates; Cercopithecidae.